Molecule: ribosomal RNA, 345 nt
Filed under: uncultured fungus
Lineage: Eukaryota; Fungi
Description: SSU rRNA
Rfam family: Eukaryotic small subunit ribosomal RNA
Source: RNAcentral
GUAGUCAUAUGCUUGUCUCAAAGAUUAAGCCAUGCAUGUCUAAGUAUAAGCAAUUAUAUAGUGAAACUGCGAAUGGCUCAUUAAAUCAGUUAUCGUUUAUUUGAUAGUACCUUACUACUUGGAUAACCGUGGUAAUUCUAGAGCUAAUACAUGCUAAAAACCCCGACCUCCGGAAGGGGUGUAUUUAUUAGAUAAAAAACCAAUGCCUUCGGGCUUGUUGGUGAAUCAUAAUAACUUAACGAAUCGCAUGGCCUUGCGCCGGCGAUGGUUCAUUCAAAUUUCUGCCCUAUCAACUUUCGAUGGUAGGAUAGUGGCCUACCAUGGUUUCAACGGGUAACGGGGAAU